GAUGAAGAACGCAGCGAAAUGCGAUAAGUAAUGUGAAUUGCAGAAUUCAGUGAAUCAUCGAAUCUUUGAACGCACAUUGCGCCCGCCAGUAUUCUGGCGGGCAUGCCUGUUCGAGCGUCAUUACAACCCUCAGGCCCCCGGGCCUGGCGUUGGGGAUCGGCGGAAGCCCCCUGCGGGCACAACGCCGUCCCCCAAAUACAGUGGCGGUCCCGCCGCAGCUUCCAUUGCGUAGUAGCUAACACCUCGCAACUGGAGAGCGGCGCGGCCACGCCGUAAAACACCCAACUUCUGAAUGUUGACCUCGAAUCAGGUAGGAAUACCCGCUGAACUUAAGCAUAUCAAUAAGCGGAUGA
RNAcentral lists this unclassified non-coding RNA (353 nucleotides) under soil metagenome. RNAcentral describes it as "partial contains 5.8S ribosomal RNA, internal transcribed spacer 2, and large subunit ribosomal RNA". The stretch from base 1 to 120 matches the Rfam family "5.8S ribosomal RNA", at positions 35 to 154 of the family's 154-position model. The record is from RNAcentral.